GAUAAACCAAAGUAAGAUGUGUUGUGCUUACUAUGGUGUGUUACAGUGUCUUCCGGAAAAAACUUAAGGCAAGUGAGUAUCAUGCAUUAUCUCUACCAGUCAGCUUUACUUAUUUGACAUGCAUCAACAAGUAACCUAUGCAGAAGUUUCCGAGUCACAUAAUGUUAAAUUAUGUGUCGUGAAGUUUUAGAAGCUGCUCAUAAGACUUAAUCAUACUCUGAGUCAAGGGUACAAAAUUAUGAGUCAUACAAGCUUCAUUUUGUUUGUAAUGGAGGCUUAUUAUUAUAGUGACA
This 293-nucleotide long non-coding RNA is filed under the name Trifolium pratense (red clover). Its description in RNAcentral is "long non-coding RNA (TPRA_LNC009942)". Lineage: Eukaryota; Viridiplantae; Streptophyta; Magnoliopsida; Fabales; Fabaceae. The record is from RNAcentral.